This is a long non-coding RNA of Bos taurus (domestic cattle), 1969 nucleotides long. The record is from Ensembl. NCBI's taxonomy places the organism in Eukaryota, Metazoa, Chordata, Mammalia, Artiodactyla, Bovidae.
CUGCCCCAGCUAGUGCGGGUUCUAAUCCUUAGCCCCGAAAGGCUCCACCUACUAGUUUACUAAUAGGAAACACCUGCCCUCGAGAUGGUCGUUAACCUGAGGGACUGUGAGCAGCACGUGUCCAAGCGACUGGUUGCCCUGGUAACCUAGCUGACGUCAGUUCCCCCCUAUAAGCGAUAGCAUUCCCUCGCCCCGCCCUCAGUGGUGAAGAUGAUGGCCCCGUAGCAGUCACCGCCUGCCGCAGACAGUGGUGUGUUGCUCCAAGACCUGGCUUCGGACAUGUAAGGUCUUCUGUCCGACGGACCGUGGAUGUCCCUGUCCCUGUCUCCGGGCUCUUUCUUCGGUCUCGAGGCUAGACGACUACAAGGCUCGCGGGCCUGCAGCUUGCAGCCCAACGUGGGGUUAUGGAAAGAGACGUGGACUUAGAAACCUGAAUUACAUGCCCCACUCCCGUCAAAGUCUCCCUGCUCAGCCAGUUGGUUCAUCUGGAGAGUGAGGAUCCCAGUAAAGGAAGAGGCAUCCUACUCUUUAAAAAGUCUCUGUUUAUUUGCGCUUUGUCUUAGUUGCGGCCUCUCAGUGGUAACCUCUGGCCAGCCCCAUUUUACACAGAAGAGGAAAAAUAGAGGCUCAGAAAGACAAAGUGACCUGUCCGGGGUCUCGCAGCAAGUUCGGAUUCAGCCCAACGCCUGAGCCCUUGAUGCCUGGCUUUCUCUGCCCCAGUAGGAGCCUUAGGAACUCUUUGGCUGCCUUUUCACUUUAAGGGGGCUUAGUUGGAGUACCUGGGGAGUCCCAGCUGCACGGCCCACUCCGGGCCUCUGGGGGCUGGUCCACGGGCCGUUGUGAUGUACGCCCUGGCUCUGUGUCCCUCCCGCAGGGGCAACUCGAGAACCAGGCAGAAGGGCAGCUGCUGCCUGGGAUCGGAGGCUUUGGAGUCAGCUCCUAUGGAUGCCGAAUCGGAGGCCCUCCCAUGCCCUGCCUCGGCUGUUUACGAACUGCAACGGCACGUUGUAUCGUGGUGUAUGCCCAAGAGAAAGAAAAACACGUGUCUACACAAAGGCUUGUGCACAGAUAUUAAUACCAGCUUUAUUUGUAAUAGACAAAGUCUGGAGCAUCCCAGAUGCCCGUCAUUAGGAGAAUGGAUAGAGAAAUGGCAGUAUAUUCAUAUAGUGGAAUUGUUCAGUUGCUAAGUCAUGUCCAAUUCUUUGCGAUCCCAUGGGCUGCAGCAUGCCGGGCUCCUCAGUCCUCCACUGUCUUCCGGAGUUUGCUCAAAUUUAUGUCCACUGAGCCAGUGCUACUAUCCAACCAUCUCAUCCUCUGCCACCCUGUUCUCCUUUUGCCUUCAAUCUUUCCCAGCAUCAGGGUCUUUUCCAAUGAGUCGGCUCUUCACAUCAGGUGGCCAAAGUAUUGGAGCUUCAGCAACAAUCCUGCCAAUGAAAAUUCAGGGUUAAUUUCCUUUAGGGUUGACUGCUAUGAUCUCCUUGCUGUCCAAGGGACUCUCAAGAGUCUUCUCCAAUACUCAGUAAUAAAAAUGAACAACUGAGAUAUCCAAUGACGUGGAUGAAUCGAAAAAAAAAAGGGGGGGCUAGUGAAAGAAGCUAGACAUCAUCUCUGUGAUUCUAUUUGUGUGAAACUCUAGAGAAGACAAAACGAAUCUGAUAGAGAUCAGGUUAGGCAUUGUCUGAGAGUAGAGAUGUAUUGGCCAGAAAGGAGACUGAAGGAAACUUCCAGAAUAGGAAAUGUUUCAUGUCUCGAUCUGAGUGGUUAGUUACACCGUGUUCACAAAGGUGGAAAUUAAUAGAGCUCCAGACUUAAGGUUUUGUGCCUUUUAUGUAGAUUGCCCUUCCCUUUGUAAAAAUGCAAACAUAAUGUAAAUGAAGGAAGGGCCGGUCUUCAGAGCCCUCCUUGAAGUGGUCACCCAGGGUGACUCUGCCUUAGGCAUCUCCAGCCUCAUUAGAAGAAGGCAGGGGAG